Molecule: unclassified non-coding RNA, 3069 nt
Filed under: Leishmania donovani
Lineage: Eukaryota; Euglenozoa; Kinetoplastea; Trypanosomatida; Trypanosomatidae
Description: gene:LdHU3.10.0360(CDS-product:hypothetical_prote in_conserved)
Source: RNAcentral
UGCUCUCAUCGAGUCCACCCCUUCACACACCCUACAUCCGCCAUCACGCCCAUCUCGCGCUCUGUCUUUCCCGGGCAUACAUACCCCACCAUUACCAGCGCUACCAUUUUCGCCUUCACUGCAGCGAUCACCACUCGUACCACUGCGACUCUCAUCGAGCCCUAACGUCAAGCAGCAGCAGCAUCGGCAACGAAAGGAGCCGCAUCCGUAGCCGUCGCGCUACAGACCCCGUUCUUCCCUCCUCUUCUCUCUCGCACCCGGCGCUGGACCCCUGCGAACUGCUGUCGUCCUGGCGCUUCAUUGCUCGCGUUCCUUUUCCCUUCCGCUUGUACUCUGUUCGCGCACACCAUGCCGACGAUUCGCAACCUCACAGCUGUAGCGGCCGUGGUGGCGGCGACGGUGCUGCUGGUUGCAACGAGCGCCACGGCGCAGGCGGACCAGAUGUGCAGUGACCCGGCAAACCCGUUGGCGAGCAUCGAUUACAGCGACGCGGCUGUGCAGGCCUGUGUAGUUGCCCGGUGCACCACGACGCUGAAUGUCACACCCACCAUAACAGCAGACGGCUUCUGCGACGGCGUGGCCACCUCCGAGUCGUCUGCUCCGUGCAACAAGCUGGAGAUGGGCUACAAUGCGUACUACGCCUGCCUUGUGCACGCGCUGCAGGGUACGAAUACGACCGGCCUCGUCGAAUUUGGUGCUGCCGCCAAGGAGUUCCUCAGCACCCCCGGCUUCCCGUACCGCCUCUCCCUCCUCGGCUGCUACGCAUGCAACCAUUACCGUUUAACCGUAUUCCCGUCCUUGGACAGCAAGUGCUCGAACUGGACCUGUGCCACCGUCUCUUCGCAGAGCCCGUCUGCGCCAGCUUAUGGCCAGCCGGACGAGGGCUACAACCACCGCCUGUGCAGCACGGGCUGUAUCACGGGCAUCAUAAUGAUUCCCUUCACUGUUGUCACAUGCGCCAUCUUCUUCGCGUGCGGGUGCUGCUGGCCGUCCCCAUCGCUGAAGACGACCUACGAAGCGAUGCUUCAGGAGGAAAGGCGAAAAUACCGCCGGCACCCCGCAGCCGACGACGACGAUUCGCAUGACCUGGAUAACGGCUGCUAUAGCCUUGCGCACGAGCCGGCGCCCGUAAGCGAUCAGAAGAGCCACCCCGAGGUUGCGGGGCAGCACUCUGUGGGAAAUUAGGCGCCUACUAUGUGCACAGAAACGUAGCCCAUAUGCACAAUCUUCUGGAUGGACCUCAAAUCUCGUGCACGCGUGUGUGUGGCAGAGAGAAUGACGGCAGCGAAAGUGGACCAAUGUGCACAGGAAAAGUGAGAGGCAGCCGGUGUGAGGUGUGCAUCUAGGUCAACCCCUCCCUCAUAAGCGUCGUGCACGCGCAUCACUAGAGGUGCUCUGCCUCUCCUAAUCACACACACACACACACAUGCACGUACACGUUGCAUCAACGUGGGGAUGGUGUGGGGUUUGCUCGCAGACCAGCCACUUCGCAUUCCUCAACGCCCACAACGACACAGAAACAGACACAGACGUGCGAGAACAGGCUUUGAUGGCUCGGUGUGUGUACGCGUGUGCCUACUUCAGUGUAUGUAUGUGCAUCAGUGCAGGACUUUCAUAAUGUGGCCUUCGCUGCGUGCCACUGUCCUCCUCCACCUUGGCUUUCUAUUAUCAUUGUCUCCCUCUCUUUGACGGCGGGUGUUCUCCCUCCUCCUCCUCCCCCCCUCCCAUCCUCAUCGUCCUCUUCUUGUGCAUCUUUCGUCUUUAAAGCCCCUCCCCCUCUCCCUUACCAUCUACGCACACACAUACACGCGCGCACGCCCGCCAUCCGUAAAAAAUUCCUUUUUUCCUUCGACGUUGUAUCGGCCUUUACGGCGUUGUCUGUGGAGGUUUCGGUGUGUGUGUGUGUGUGUGUGCGUGUGUAGAGGUGUUGGUUUGUGUCGGUGCCGUCUUGCCCUUUUACGUGGUGGAUGUCUUUCAGUCGUUGGCGCUCAUUCCCGUCCAUUUCUCUCUCCUUCCUUAAAUAUACGUACAUAUAUAUAUAUAUAUAUGUGCGCGUGUGUGUGCGUGUGUAGGUAGGUUUGUGUGUGUAUGCGUGUGUGUGCGUGUGCUGUAGCCCUAUAUGCCUUGUGCUGUUCGCCGCAUGCAAAGUAGCGAGCGCUCACAGACAGGUGAAUGGGAAGAGGGAGGACGAUGUGGUCGCCGUGCCUCGUGUGCAUGCAUCCGUAUGCAACGCAACCACCCUUUCGUGUCUUCUUAUGGGCACCACCCCUCCCCCCCCCCACACACACACAUAUAUAUAUACAAGCCUCACCAUUCUUCACCAACAGCAUUUCUUCAUCUGCCCGCCGUAGCAUCCCUCAUCCUCACUUCACUCCGUCAUGGGCUCACUAUCGGUGGGAUUUUAGACGCCGGUCAAACGCCUCAUCUCCCCCCUCCUCGUCCUCGUCCAUGAGCUGCCCACUUCUGCUGCUGACGCAGCAACGCUUGUAUGUUUCCGCGUAUGCCAUUCCCGUUGUUUUCUCUCGUUGUCAACCCUGACUCAUCGGCGGAAUGGUGCACCGUGUAGGUGCUGGCGGCUUCUUCCUUUGUUCAGUUCACGCUGCUCUUUUCGUGUUGUGAAUCUGUGUCUCACAGCCUCGGCAGUGGCGUGUGCGCGUGCGCGUGCGUGUGUGGGGUCUCCUCUGUGCGAUGCCUCUCUCUCUCUUGCACAUCGCAUCUGGUUUUCCGUUUCCCAGUCGUGGCGCUCGCUUGUUUACUUGUUUCAGUCGUGUUUUUAUUGUUGGUGCUGCCUUGCUCACAUUCGUCGCGCAAUUCCCCCACCCGUCCUACCAGCGUAUUCGAACCACGGUGCGUGGUGGGCGACCGACGAGAGGCGAUCUGAAUUCGUAGAGAGAUGUGUCACGUGACGUCGACCUCCACGUGCAGACAAAGAGGAGAGGCCGUAGGAGAAGCAUGUAAAAGCACGGUGCAUCUUGUGCGCUCGCGCUUUCUCGCGUCAUGAAGAUGGUGAGGCUUUAGCGUGCGCUGGUGCCGUCAAUGAUGGCGGCAGACGACGCCUCGCAUCAGAUA